Molecule: long non-coding RNA, 660 nt
Organism: Olea europaea var. sylvestris
Lineage: Eukaryota; Viridiplantae; Streptophyta; Magnoliopsida; Lamiales; Oleaceae
Exons: 2
Source: RefSeq, a predicted model, not a curated record
CUCUAAAACAAUAGUAAAAAUCAUUUCAAACCAAAAUCACCAUAUUCACAAUCUCUCUCUCUCUUUCAGACGCUCUCUCUAAAAUGGUUCGAAUCUCUCUCUCUACAACCCUAAUUUAGUUUUCGGCGGCGAAGAGGUCCGUCAAAUAGCCGGUUAAAAUCUUGAACGAACAAGUCGAGGAGAGCGGUGAAGACGACGGCAUCACACUUUCAAAUCUUCGGCGGCGAAGAGCUCCUUCAGGAUUGUUCCAUGGCCAAAAAGAACAGAGGAAUAUGUCAUACACAGAUGAAUAUGUCAUUCUUGUAGGGUGGCAAGACAAUAAAGGGAUGUUGUUCCAUUGUUGCACCCGCGAUUGUAGGCUUUUCAAGUUUUCUAACACUCCGCUCUACAAAGAGUAUCCAUUGCAAGGUGAAUCAAGUGGCACUACCAACGGAAGUGAAACGAUCGAUGAUUUGUUCCGUAUGUUGAGAACGUGUGCAAAAAUAACCGAGGAGAGAAACGUGGAGAUUUCAUUCAACUUAUUGUACUUAAAAUUCCUGUGAUGGUGGUCAUAGAAGCAAAUUUUUUGUUAAGAUGUCUUGAUCUAGAACGGUUUGUGUUGUAUGUAGUGAACUAUUACAAGCGUUCUCAAUCAAGUUUUUCAUAAUUUCUAUGGAUACA